Oncorhynchus tshawytscha (Chinook salmon) is the source of this 4754-nucleotide long non-coding RNA. The record is from Ensembl. NCBI's taxonomy places the organism in Eukaryota, Metazoa, Chordata, Actinopteri, Salmoniformes, Salmonidae.
AAGACAAGUAAAUAAUGUUCAGGGUGUUGGUACAACAAUACAGAUCGAAUUUUAAAUGCAAAGGGGCUUCCAUUGCAAAAGUCUAUGUUGUGGCAAACCUGAGUAUGGUCUGAUGCAAGUCAGCAGCUGUAAGCGGCGGUCGUGUCAGUGGUGGGAACAAAGACGGUUUUGCCGAGAUGUCCUGCUGAGUUAUUCAAGGAAACAGAGGAGGUCUUCACACCACCCUCUCACUUGAGUAUCUUACCUAGUUAUUUACAGAUUCUCAUUUUGCACUUUUUUUUUUUUAGCUUUGUCAACUAUGUGUGUUUUCUAUACCUGUUCGCACCUCUACCUGUAGGCUUUACAGACGCUCCCCACCCCUUGGCUGCAACCCUUCUAAUUUAGUGUACCCUGCGCGCACAACCCAUGUGGAAUUCUGGAUCUCUGGCAACGUAUGGAACUGCUGAUCUCCGUUGAAGAACACUGAGUUCACCUAAGCCUAUGCUGCCCUUCAGUCUUUACUUUUUGUCCCUGAUGGAGACAUGGAUCACCCCAGAGAACACUGCUACUACAGUGGCUCUUUCUUCCCCUGACUGUGUUUUCUCUCAUAGUCCGAUAGUAUAUGAUCGUUGCGGUGAUAGCAUAGGUCUACUAAUUUCCCCUAAGUGGAGAUUCUCUCACCUGUCCAUCUCCUCAUUUCAAUUCCAUGCUGUCACUUGUAAACUCAAGGUUAACAUUAUUGUUAUCUAUCGCCCACCAGGUGCCCUUGGAGAGUUCUUCAAUGAGCUUGACACCUUGAUAAGCUAAUUUCCUGACGACGGCUCACCGCUCUUCUUACUUGAACACUUCAACCUUACAACGUCUGCCUUCGUUUAAUUUCUUUCAACUCUCUCUUUCCCCUCCUUGCCUCUUUUGACCUCACCCUUUCCCAAUACCUUCCAACUCACAAGGCAGGCAAUAUGCUUGACAUCAUCUUUACUAGAGGCUGCUCACCUACUGAUUUCACUGCAAUCCCCCUCCAGGUCUCUGAUCAGUACUUUGUUUCCUUUUCUGUCUCCCUUUCCUCCAACCCUAACCACUCAGCUCCCACCCAGAUGGUCAUGCACGGUUACAAUCUUCGCUCUCUCUCCCACUACUCUCUCCUCUUCUAUCCUAUCAUCUCUCCUUUCUGCCAAAUCCAUCUCCCUUCUGUCUCCUGAUUCUGCCUCUUCGACCCUAACACGCUUCCCUUUAGGCAUCCUAUGACUCGCACUGUCCCCUUUCGUCCCGGCACUCCCCUCCUGCUCCGUGGCUGAGUGACUCAUUACGAGUUUACAGAACAGGGCUGCGGGCAGCUGAGCAAAAAAAUGGAGAACUAAACUUCCGUAGGACAUAUCAGCCUUCCACUCCCUCCUAUCUACCUUCUUCCAACUGUAUCCAUUGCUUAAGCCACUUUAAAUGUCAAGCUUCUGCCUCUAACCAUAGGAAACUCUUACACCUUCUCCUCCCUCCUUAAUCCUCCACCCUUCCCCCUCUGCGGACGACUUUGUCAAUCACUUGACCGCAUUCACUCAGCCUAUUGAGUCCACUGGUCUAACACACAGAACUACCCUAUGUCUUGACCUCUUUCUCCCCUCUCUCACCAGUUGACAUCCUGCAACUAGUGAGGCCUGGCCACCUGACAACUUUCCCGCUCGACCCCAUCCUCUCCUCCCUUCUUCAGACCAUCUCUGGAGACCUUCUCCCAUUCCUCACUUCACUCAUCCCUUACCUCUGGCUGCGUCCCCUCUGACUUGAAAAUGGCUUGAGUUGCACCUCAAGAAACCAACACUCAACUCAUCUGACAUCAAAAACUAUAGACCUGUAUCCCUUUCUUUUCUUUCCAAAACACUUGAGCAUGCUUUCUUUGAUCAACUUUCUUGUGAUCUCUGUCAAAUCUUCUUGACCCGCACCAGUCAGGCUUCAAUAAGGGUCACGCAAACGAGACUGCUCUUCUCUGUCACGGAGGCUCUAUGCACUGCCAAAGCUGACUCUCUCCUCUAUACUCAUCUUACUAGAUCUAUCUGAUGCCUUUGACACCGUGAACCAUCAGAUCCUCCUGUCCACUCCCUCAAGGCUGGGCGCCUCAACCUGUCGUUCUCUGCAAACAUCAAAUCAGGGACCCGCUCCUGCAGGUUCAUGCUCUACAACAUCCUUAGAGUACGACCCUACCUCACACAGGAAGUGGCACAGGUCCUAAUCCAGGCACUUGUUCCGUUUCGACUACUGCAACUCACUGUCGGCUGGGCUCACCGCUUGUGCCAUCAAACCCCUGAACUUUAUCCAGAACACAACAGCCUGCCUGUUUACACUUUACUUCCCCUGAAGCAAGUACAGCAGAGUCCCUGCCCAUCUUCCGAAAACAUCUGAAACCCUACCUCAUCAAACAGUAUCUUAAAUAAUCUUCCUGUAAGUCGCUCUGGAUAAGAGCAUCUGCUAAAUGACUAAAAUGUAACAAUAUACUGUAUGACUUUAAAGAUGGUUACAUGAAAUGUAAGCUGUUGUAUUCGGUGCAUGUGACAAACUUUGAUUUGAUUUAAUUUGCUCUGUUAAUCCUACCCUUUGGAAUGACUUCAAUAGCAACAGUGAGACCUUAUCCUUCACAAUAUUGCACACUGCUAGUAGUCAGUGGCAAUAUCAAAGUUAAGCUGGGUUGGGCUUGGUUAAAACACGGGACAGUAGACCAAAGGAAUAGCUGUAGAUAUCUCCCCCCCAGUGGGAGGUGCUAUCCAGCCUACUGCUUUUUUCUGAGAGUGGAUAUAACGUUGAAUAUCUGACAUUGUUUCAAAGCUACAAAUUCAACAUAUUUUAUAGUUUGUCUGUUAAAUUGGUUACCAUAACAUUAUCCUGUGGUUGAAAUGUCACUCAAAAACAGUUGAUUACUUUUUUUCAAAUCCAAUGCAUUUCCCAAGUAGACUCCACGUCACAAUACGUUAGCAAAUUACGUUGAAACAACAUUGAUUCAACCAGUUUGUGCAGUGGGAAGGCUCUAUUCAUUUACAUGUCAUGCUGUUAUAUGCCACACUCCAUCAAGAAGGCAUGUAAUUGUUCAAAGUUAGGAGCACUCAUUUCUUCCAAGCGACUUAGGAAACGAAAGCUAAGCUGUCUUUACCAGCUGUUUACGCUUUACAAGCGGUACUCGUCUAGUCCCAGCAGCCCCAAAUCUGUCCACCAAAAUGAAGACCACGAAGAGAGGAAUUUUUUGUAUGGAGGUCAAUGAGUGUUGAAUUUGGUCAACAACAAAAAUAUUGCUAAUUUGCUAAGUGAGGAUAAUUUGAUUGAAUAAUAGUUUCAUAAUGGUUAGGUUAUUACGAUUGUACUGAUGUAAGCAGGAAUUUUGGCAACUUUGAAAAAAAUGACUUGUAGUUUUGCCUGUUGUCAUAGACUCCAUGAUUUACAAUCAAUUUUAGCAUGGACAUUGCCAUUGUGGACUUCCACCAUUUUAAAGGUGGGUAAUUCCUACAAAUUGGGAGCCAUCAGCCGAUGAAGAAAAUGGACUACUUUGAAAUGGAGAUAUCCUCAAUGUUUCUAUCUGUGCCAUUAUACCAUCUGUGACAGCAUCAUUAUGUCUUCUAUCUCUAUGGCCUGUUGUUCACACACUUAUCUGCCCUCUAAUUGGCUAGAAUGGUCUCACCUGAUCUCGCCUCCUACCGCCUGCCUUCCAUCUUUGAGGACAUAUACACUACCGUUCAAAAGUUUGGUUUCACUUGGAAAUGUCCUUGUUUUUGAAAGAAAAGCACAUGUUUUGUCCAUUAAAAUAACAUUCAAAUUGAUCAGAAAUACAGUGUUGACAUUGUUAAUGUUGUAAAUGACAAUUGUAGCUGGAAAUGGCAUAUUUCUUAUGGAAUAUCUACAGUUGGAAGUCGGAAGUUUACAUACACUUAGGUUGGAGUCAUUAAAACUCGUUUUUCAACCACUCUACAAAUUUCUUGUUAACAAAUUACAGUUUUGCAAGUCAGUUAGGAGAUCUACUUUGUGCAUGACACAACACAUUUUCCAACAAUUCUUUACAGACAGAUUAUUUCAGUUAUAAUUCACUGUAUCACAAUUCCAGUGGGUCAGAAGUUUACAUAUACUAAGUUGUCUGUGCUUUUAAACAGCUUGGAAAAUUCCAGAAAAUGUCAUGGCUUUAGAAGCUUCUGAUAGGCUAAUUGACAUCAUUUGAGUCAAUUGGAGGUGCACCUGUGGAUGUAUUUCAAGGCCUACCUUCAAACUCAGUGCCUCUUUGCUUGACUUCAUGGGAAAAUCAAAAGAAAUCAGUCAAGACCUCAGAACAAAAGUUGUACAGCAAAUUGGGAGCAAUUUCCAAACGCCUGAAGGUACCACGUUCUGUACAAACAAUAGUACGCAAGCAUGAACACCAUAGUACCACGCAGCCGUGGUCAACUAGUCUAAAGAAGGCCCGUUUUAUUGCUUCUUUAAUCAGAACAACAGUUUUCAGCUGUGUUAACAUAAUUGCAAAAGGUUUUUCUAAUGAUAAAUUUGCUUUUUAAUUUGCUUUUUAAAACUUGGAUCAGCUAACACAACAUGCCAUUGGAACACAGGAGUGAUGGUUGCUGAUAAUGGGCCUCUGUAUGCCCAUGUAGAUAUUCCAUUAAAAAAAUCUGCUGUUUACACCUACAAUAGUUAUUUACAACAUUAACAUUGUCAGCACUAUAUUUCUGAUCAAUUUGAUGUUAUUUUAAUGGACAAAAAAAUAGCUUUUCUUUCAAAAACAAGGACAUUUCUAAGUGACCCCAAACUUUUGAACAGUAGUG